Long non-coding RNA from Pan paniscus (pygmy chimpanzee), 827 nucleotides. NCBI's taxonomy places the organism in Eukaryota, Metazoa, Chordata, Mammalia, Primates, Hominidae. The record is from Ensembl.
GUAUUGUUGGUACAGAAGCCAACAUAGGAGAAAAGGCUUUUAGCCCUCCCUCUCCUCCUGGGAGACACAGUUGAAGGAAGAGCAGCCUGUGAUUCAGAGGGAAGGACACUGAGUCAGAUCCUGCAGGACCAACAGCAUUAAGUGCUACAAAGAGAGCCCCUGCUGAGGGGGCCCCUCCUCUCCUCCCCACGAUCCUGCCAGGAAGGGACUGCCUUUUGUCACAAUUUGGCUGACUGGUCAAUUGAGGGUGAAUCCUCAAACCAGCAGGCUUUAAGGAGCACCUUAGGGUUCAGAGCAGACCUUUUUCUUUUUCUGCCAGUGUGUAGCAGAUCUCCUUCUGCAGCCUUGGCUGUGAUCUCCGCUCCUCUCUCUCUCUGCCUUGGCUAUCUGCCUGCUCUCCUGCUGUCCUCAUCUGUAGGAGCUGCACAGCUCAGCAAGAAACUGUUCUUAGUGUGCCCAUCACAGCACUGGAAGAAAAAGAAUACUGAGAUAGUUGCCUGAAAAGCAGAAGCAGCUCCUGUCACAGUGCCAAAUGCACUCGUUUAAGGAAUUCUGAUUUUACAAAAGGAACUCCCCUAACCCCCAAACUAAAAGUUAAAGAUGAAGAAGCAUCAUGUCUUAAAAUAGACAGUUUUGUGGUUUUCUCACUGCAGUCAAAAACAGGUAAGAAUCACUAUAGCAAUGCCCUCUUGAUAGCUGAUUGGUUUUUCAGACGCCAGUUUGGUAUUAGUUCACUGUUUAAAGAUUCAGAGUGAUCCUUUUGUUACAUAUUAUAUCCGCGUGUCUUCCCACCAAGAUGAAAAUAUUUAACCAUGCCGUACUCUGUG